GGGAGAUAUCGGGCCAGUCGGCCCUCCAGGCCCGAAAGGGGAUCAGGGAGCCCAAGGAGAAAAGGGAGAGAAGGGAAACCCAGGAUUUGGCAUUCCCGGGCAGCUAGGAUUGAAGGGGGAGCCCGGAGAAAGGGGAAACGUUGGUUUAUCUGGCAAACCAGGCCAAAAGG
Heteronotia binoei (common prickly gecko) is the source of this 170-nucleotide long non-coding RNA. RefSeq lists it as uncharacterized. NCBI's taxonomy places the organism in Eukaryota, Metazoa, Chordata, Lepidosauria, Squamata, Gekkonidae. The record is from RefSeq and is a predicted model, not a curated record. The transcript is spliced from 3 exons.